AUGUUUUAUAUAAACCUGGUUUUAAACAGGAUUUUGAAAAACAGCUGCAUUCAAUUCUAACUUAAAUAGAAGCAUUUGCUCUAAAUAUGUGAAUGUUAAUAUAUAAAUAUAUAUUGUUUUAUAUUAAUAAUAAUUAUUAGUUAUUAGCUAUUUUAUUUUAAUUUGUAAUGUUCAUUUAUAUUAUAUUUGUAUACUUAAUUUGAAAGUCUCGUUCUUUUGCUCUUGAUCUUGUUUAGCAUAUUCUUCUCUGUGGUUUCAGUCUCAUUUAUAAGGCUCAGUUCCUCUAAAUAAGGUAGACUAGGAAUAGACUUUAUGUGGUGUACCACUUAACAGCCAGUAGUAACAAAGAAUGAUUAUGAAGCAUUUUGCAUCAGUUCUAGUGUGAUUGUAAGGUUAAUUUUUCUUCUCCCGAUGUAGUUUGGCAAAGCGCUGCUCUUUGUUUUGAAGGCCUCAGACAUGUAACUUAGCACAAUAGAGAGUAUGUUAGCUUUAAUGGUCUUUAUAAUAACACAAUGUUACUGUAAAUGGAAAACCGAAUGUUUGUAUAACCUCUGAAAACUAUUUAUUGAUAGCUAUUAUGCGAACAAGUUGUAUAUAAAAAGGAACAGCGGUCACGAACGGAAAUAAGACAAACAAGGCAUUAAAAAAAAAAAACCAUGUAAAAUCACUAGCGGCCUGCUACAUUCGUGGUUUAUCUAAAAAUAUGUUGUUUUUUAAUUAAAAAAAAAAAGUGUUUUAUGUCUCAUCCAACAGAAACGAAAGACACUUUAUCAUGGCGGCAGCAGAUAAACGACAUGUGCUGGAGGAGGAUGAGGAUGAGGAGAAGCGAAAGUCAGAGAAAAUGACGUUAUUGCAACACAAGAAAGUUAAAAAAUGCAAGGUGGACAUUCAAACGAAAAAUAAAAUGCUGGAAGUACCUGAGUGAGACCUUUUUUGUUUUUCGCAGGAUGGCGCGGGAGACUCCCGAUGGGGUAAAGUACAACUGUACGACAACCGAAAAAUACAAAAAAAAACAGCAGGGAGGAAGAAAGAAGAGGAGAGACCCUUUCCAUGUCGCUCACAAGACAAGGGGAAAAGCAGAGAGAGGUGUGCGAUCGAACAGCCCUCCUCACACGAGCCCCUGCCAAUGCUGAGCAGAUUCAGCUAUGCCCUCCUAUUCGCCUGCCCACUUCAGCACCGCUGCCAAAAGAGCGAGAACGAGCGGGAGAAAGAAGGAGAGAGAGGUCACAACACCAUGAGAAAGGAAAAGAAAACAAGGCGGCGACUUUUGCUGCCACCUUUCACCGUUCAUCUGUUGUUGUUGGGUUAGCAGUCAUUCCUCCAUGUUUAUUACCUCUAUGGGAGUUGGCACGAAAUGCUGAACACCGUCACCUGGCUCGGGCCCGAAAGCAGGAGUGGAACCUGGUCCAAAACCAAGCGAAAUAAGCAAAUCUCAACCUAUCCCUCAUUGCUCAGACGUCGAUAUCAGGGCUCCAUUCCACCUUUAACAACUCUCUGCUACCUGUGACCCCAUCUGACAGCGCUGUAGAUGGCAAAUUGGCUCUGAUAGACCGAUAGUCUUGCCUUUUUCUGGGAGACUUUGCCAAAUGGCCCCAACUGCCUUAAUGACACAUAAUGGCUGGAGCUGAAGGACGGCUGCUGGGGAAACGUCCUAGGUGCGUUACUCGAGCGCUGGGGGGACGCUGCAGGGUCUAAUCGCCUGCUCGGCGCCAGCAGCUGAAGGACGCUGCCUCUCCCACAGGAGCUAUUAGAGUCCCAGAGUCCCACCACACUGAUGUCAUCCUGUGUAACGGAACGCUGAAGCCGCAAAGAGAACCAAAGUUCUGCUCACUUCCCCCAUCUGUAUGCAGUGACAUUAAUGUAAAAUAUGGAUUUAAUGAAAGCCACUUCUUGCUAUACCGUCAGAGGUUUUUCACCUUCUUUGCAAGUGUAUGAUUGGACAGGAGUGAUUCCUUUCAAAGCAAUCCUUGCACAUUUUUGCACUUAAAAUAACUGGGGGAAAAAAACUUUGCAGGACAUUUCAGCUGGAAUUUCUGUGGUUAUAUUGUUUGUGCAAGACCUGUCCUGAUAUGACAUUGUAAUGGAUUUGAUUCUGCGGUCUUUAGUGCCCUUGUUAGCUCACCUGCCUCCCAUGCCGGUUCGAAUCUCGAGUUGGACCAGUUACAUUGGUGCCGUGACCCGGAUGGGAGUGAGGUUUAGGGGGGUGAGUGUAACGGAGGCCAGCUAGUAAGAGCUGUGCAGAUAAACCUCACUCCUCUUGCCUCAAGAGGCGCACUAGCGACUGACGCUAGAGACUGCUGUCUUUAGCCUCCUUGUUAGUGCACCCCCCUCCCAUGCCGGAGACCUGGGUUCGAGGCCAGGACGGAGCGGGGCGAGUAGGACCUGAGGGGUUACAGAUAGAUAGAUAGAUGUUGCUAGGGGUUGCUAGGGUGUUCAGGCCAUUGCUAGAUGGUUGCUAGGGUGUUCAGGGCAUUGCUAGGAUGUUCUAGACAUUGUUUUGUGGUUGCUAGAGUGUUCUGGGAGGUCUGUUUGGUUUAUUAUUCUUUCUUCAAUAUGUCUAGUGAAGGUUUUUGCUCAUUUUUACAAAAUUAUCUAAUAUAAUCUAAUAUAUCUAAUAAAUUAAGUUUGAUCACUCGGAAAAGUUAUAACACACCUCUCCUGAAGAAGUUGCAUGAUUUUAGGUAACACUCUGUAGCAUACGCACUUUUUAAGUAGAUCAUGUUUCAGUGCAACUCUUGAAGCAUACUUCAGUUUAAGACACUACAUGUACAUGUACCAUUUAUGCAUAAUUCAUCAGCAUGAGCAUAAGAAACAGCACCUGAACAAGCUCUAAUAUCCACACUAACAAUCUUGCAUUACAGAUCAUGUUUCUAUUUUUCUUUCGGUGUGAUGUCAGAGGUUCUUGAGGGCAUUAUCACAUGAUCUUUAGGAGUCGUUCUGGGUAAUCAGUCCCUGACAAAACCGCACAAGUUUGAGUUAACUGUUCAUUGACCAGCUGGUGACAAUUUGGCAUAGUUAUCGCAUUGCACGAAAAAACAAAGGAUGAAACGUUUUUUAGUUGCAUUAGUCACUAAAAGAUGAUUAAGCAUUAACCUAAUUAUGUUUUCUAUGGUAAGCAUUACGGUGCUGUUGCUUACAUUUUCUGGAAAAAACAACAAAGCAAAACACAUUAGCAACACCUGGCAUCAUGCAUCAAGGAAAACACUGCAAAUAUUUCAACAGAACCUCAAAAUCUGUUUUCGCUAUAAUUACUAUGCAUUUUUGCUUUUCAGAAAAGAUCAUUUUGAAACACACACACACACACACUGUAAAUUUAAAUUCCUCAAACGUCUUCUAACAUACUGUCACAUGAGAAUGUCACUGGAUCAGUUUUGCCUGUAAGUACACUUUAGCCAAAGUCAAUAUAUUAAUGGAGAAAUCUGAUCUUUGGUCCUGUUUACACCUAAUAUUAAAGGGAUAGUCCCUUUCUGUCAUUAAUUACCCUCAUGUCGUUCCACACCCAUAAGAUCUUCGUUCAUCUUCGGAACACAAAUGAAGAUAUUUUUGAUGAAAUCAGAGAGAUCUCUGACUCCUCCAUAGACAGCAAUUAAAUUAAAGACAUUGUUAAAAUAGUCUACGUGACUACAGUGGUUCAACCUUAAUGUUAUGAAGCGACGAGAAUACUUUUUGUGCGCAAAAACAAAAAAAUAACUUUAUAUGAUAUCAUAAGGGAUGAGACAGAAAACAUUAGAAACUGCAUAGCAAUACAUUAAAAUACUCUGAAAACCUUAGCAGCUGCACCCUGCAAUUAGCAACACCCUGGCAACCACUUAGAACACUUUAAUAACCACAGCAACAUAGUAAGACCGCUCAAAACACCCUGGCAAGUACUCAAACAUUGGAACUGUAUAUCAGCACACUACAAUACUUUAGUAACUGCAUUGCAAUUAAUUACCACAUAGCAACAUGCUAAAACCACUCAGAACACCACAAAGAAAAGCCCUGGCAAAUGCUCAGAAUACCAAUGGAACCACAUAGCAACAUGCUAGAAUACCUUAGCAACUGCUUUGCAACACCCUGGUAACCAUACAAUGCAUGAGAGUAACAUUAGCCACAUGUUAAAAAACACUCAGGACUUAGCAGCUGCAUAGCAACGCCCUGGUAACCACUCAGAACAUUCUAGUAACUCCAUAGCAACACACUAAGAACACUCAGAACCACCACAAAUUGCUCAAACCCUGGCAAUUGCUCAGAAUACCAUAGGCGUGCUAGAGCAACACACUAGUAUACCUUUGCAAGUGUAUAGAAAUGCCUUGGUAUGGUAACCACCCAGAACAUCUUAGUAACGGCAUAGCAACAAGCUAAAAUGCUCAGAAUACCCUAGAAACUGCAUAGCAACACACUAUACCUUAGCAACUGCAUAGCAAUGCCCUGGCAACCACCCGUAACACUUUAUUCACCACAAAGCUAUAUGGUAAAAGAGGGGGAUUUGCACAGGCAAGUACCACAGUUUAAAACCUUUCCUUCCUAUACUGUUAUUCCGCAUUAUGGCAAGGGCGAUUGCAUCAUGGGAACUUGUUUACUGUGAAAAGAGGUCAGCAGGACACUUUCAUACUGUAUUUUCCUCUGUGUUCAUCUGAUGUGGUAUCCUUGACUUACCGCAUUUGUUUUACAGUGAGGCAGUAUCCUGUCGCCUUUGUUUAGUUUGAGUCACAUUCAGCACACACACACACACACACGCACACACACACACACACACGCACACACACACACACACACACACACAUCCCUCAGGAGCAUGUGCUCUCCUCUGACCCACAUCUCCAUGGGUUGGCCUCAUUGUUUGUGGUUGUGAAGACAGGAUGGUGAGUGUGUGUGAGUAAUAAACCCACUGGUGUGAGGUCAUGUCCUUAAGUCACACAGUUGCAGCUGUGUGUACGCCAUAUUUCUGCUUCUGUAUUAUUUAAUCUUAUCAGUUUCAGUGUAUUAAAUAUCUUAUAUAACUUAAACAAAUAAAUACUAUAAUCAUUGUUGGUCUGUAAAUACGAAAAUGUAUUUUAAAGAGGAGCAUUUCAGUGUUCCAGUUUCAUAUAUAAAUUGGUGUUUCCCAAACCUGUUUCUGGAGGCACACCAACAGUACACAUUUUGGAUGUGUCCCUUACCUGAGUCUCUUCUAAUGAGCUGAUGAGUUGAAUCAGGUGUGUUUGAUUAGGAAGAGUUUGAAAAAGUGUAGUGUUUGUGUGCCUCCGGGAACAGGGUUGGGAAACACCGAUCUGUUACUGUACAGUUACAUAAUAAACUGUCUCUUUAAGAUCUCGA
This is a long non-coding RNA of Ctenopharyngodon idella (grass carp), 5298 nucleotides long. RefSeq lists it as uncharacterized. The record is from RefSeq and is a predicted model, not a curated record. Lineage: Eukaryota; Metazoa; Chordata; Actinopteri; Cypriniformes; Xenocyprididae. The transcript has 2 exons.